GAUGAAGAACGCAGUGAAAUGCGAUAAGUAAUGUGAAUUGCAGAAUUCAGUGAAUCAUCGAAUCUUUGAACGCACCUUGCGCUCCUUGGUAUUCCGAGGAGCAUGCCUGUUUGAGUGUCAUUAAAUUCUCAACCUCAUCAGUUUUGUUAUGAAGCUGUGUGAGGCUUGGAUGUGGGGGUUUGUGCAGGCUGCCUCAGUGCGGUCUGCUCCCCUGAAAUGUAUUAGCGAGUUCCAACUGGGCUCCGUCUAUUGGUGUGAUAAUUAUCUACGCCGUGGAUUGGGCUUAGACUUGCUUCUAACCGUCCGCAAGGACAAUCUUUUGACAAUUUGACCUCAAAUCAGGUAGGACUACCCGCUGAACUUAAGCAUAUCAAUAAGCGGAGGA
This 385-nucleotide unclassified non-coding RNA is filed under the name soil metagenome. Its description in RNAcentral is "partial contains 5.8S ribosomal RNA, internal transcribed spacer 2, and large subunit ribosomal RNA". The stretch from base 1 to 120 matches the Rfam family "5.8S ribosomal RNA", at positions 35 to 154 of the family's 154-position model. The record is from RNAcentral.